RNAcentral lists this ribosomal RNA (529 nucleotides) under uncultured bacterium. Its description in RNAcentral is "bacterial SSU rRNA". It matches the Rfam family "Bacterial small subunit ribosomal RNA", at positions 8 to 526 of the family's 1533-position model. The record is from RNAcentral.
AGAGUUUGAUCCUGGCUCAGGAUGAACGCUAGCGGCAGGCUUAACACAUGCAAGUCGAGGGGCAGCAUGAAUAAUAGCAAUAUUAUUUGAUGGCGACCGGCGCACGGGUGCGUAACACGUAUGUAAUCUGCCUUGUACUGGAGCAUAACUCCGAGAAAUCGGAGCUAAUUCUCCAUAAUACUAGAAUGUGGCAUCACGUUUUAGUUAAAGCUCAGGCGGUACAAGAUGAGCAUGCGGCCAAUUAGCUAGUUGGAGAGGUAACGGCUCACCAAGGCGACGAUUGGUAGGGGUUCUGAGAGGAUGAUCCCCCACACUGGUACUGAGACACGGACCAGACUCCUACGGGAGGCAGCAGUGAGGAAUAUUGCGCAAUGGAGGAAACUCUGACGCAGCCAUGCCGCGUGAAGGAUGAAUGCCCUAUGGGUUGUAAACUUCUUUUGUAUGGGAAUAAACGCUCCUACGUGUAGGAGCCUGAAGGUACCAUAAGAAUAAGCACCGGCUAACUCCGUGCCAGCAGCCGCGGUAAUUC